Molecule: ribosomal RNA, 673 nt
Filed under: Vairimorpha ceranae
Lineage: Eukaryota; Fungi; Microsporidia; Nosematidae
Description: SSU rRNA
Rfam family: Microsporidia small subunit ribosomal RNA
Source: RNAcentral
GUAUAUGAGGUGAUUAAUUGGAGGGCAAAUCAAGUGCCAGCAGCCGCGGUAAUACUUGUUCCAAGAGUGUGUAUGAUGAUUGAUGCAGUUAAAAAGUCCGUAGUUUAUUUUUUUAAGAAGCAAUAUGAGGUGUACUGUAUAGUUGGGAGAAAGAUGAAAUGUGACGACCCUGACUGGACGAACAGAAGCGAAAGCUGUACACUUGUAUGUAUUUUUUGAACAAGGACGUAAGCUGGAGGAGCGAAGAUGAUUAGAUACCAUUGUAGUUCCAGCAGUAAACUAUGCCGACGAUGUGAUAUGAGAAUGUUAAUUUGUAUUACAUAAUAGAAAUUUGAGUUUUUUGGCUCUGGGGAUAGUAUGAUCGCAAGAUUGAAAAUUAAAGAAAUUGACGGAAGAAUACCACAAGGAGUGGAUUGUGCGGCUUAAUUUGACUCAACGCGAGCUAACUUACCAAUAUUUUAUUAUUUUGAGAGAACGGUUUUUGUUUGAGAAUGAUAAUAGUGGUGCAUGGCCGUUUUCAAUGGAUGCUGUGAAGUUUUGAUUAAUUUCAACAAGACGUGAGACCCUUAUUUUUUAUUAAAGACAGACACAAUCAGUGUAGGAAGGAAAGGAUUAAAACAGGUCCGUUAUGCCCUCUGACAUUUUGGGCUGCACGCGCAAUACAAUAGAUAUA